UACGGAGGGUGCGAGCGUUGUCCGGAAUCAUUGGGCGUAAAGGGCGCGUAGGCGGCCACCGCAAGUCGACUGUGAAAUCUCCGGGCUUAACCCGGAAAGGUCAGCCGAUACUGCGGGGCUAGAGUGCAGAAGGGGCAACUGGAAUUCUCGGUGUAGCGGUGAAAUGCGUAGAUAUCGAGAGGAACACCUGCGGCGAAGGCGGGUUGCUGGGCUGACACUGACGCUGAUGCGCGAAAGCUAGGGGAGCGAACGGG
RNAcentral lists this ribosomal RNA (254 nucleotides) under uncultured bacterium. RNAcentral describes it as "partial 16S ribosomal RNA". It matches the Rfam family "Bacterial small subunit ribosomal RNA", at positions 524 to 776 of the family's 1533-position model. The record is from RNAcentral.